UGGAGAAACUCAAUGUGGAACAUGGUGGAGAGAACAGAAUGAAACCUGGACUUAGAAAAUAUGUCUGUGAUCUCACACUGGACCCAAACACAGUAAACAGACGCCUCUCUCUGUCUGAGGAGAACAGAAAGGUGACAUGGAGGAGAGAGGAGCAGCCGUAUCCUGAUCACCCAGAGAGAUUUGAGGACU
Molecule: long non-coding RNA, 189 nt
Organism: Oncorhynchus gorbuscha (pink salmon)
Lineage: Eukaryota; Metazoa; Chordata; Actinopteri; Salmoniformes; Salmonidae
Exons: 3
Source: RefSeq, a predicted model, not a curated record